AUUGAACGCUGGCGGCAUGCCUUACACAUGCAAGUCGAACGGCAGCACGGGUGCUUGCACCUGGUGGCGAGUGGCGAACGGGUGAGUAAUACAUCGGAACGUACCUUAUCGUGGGGGAUAACGCAGCGAAAGCUGUGCUAAUACCGCAUACGCCCUGAGGGGGAAAGCGGGGGAUCGCAAGACCUAGAGCGAUUAGAGCGGCCGAUGCCUGGUUAGCUAGUUGGUGGGGUAAAAGCCCACCAAGGCGACGCUCAGUAGCUGGUCUGAGAGAACGAUCAGCCACACUGGGACUGAGACACGGCCCAGACUCCUACGGGAGGCAGCAGUGGGGAAUUUUGGACAAUGGGGGCAACCCUGAUCCAGCAAUGCCGCGUGGGUGAAGAAGGCCUUCGGGUUGUAAAGCUCUUUUGUCAGGGAAGAAACACCGGCUCUAACACAGUCCGGGAAUGACGGUACCUGAAGAAUAAGCACCGGCUAACUUCUUGCCAGCAGCCGCGGUAA
This 501-nucleotide ribosomal RNA is filed under the name uncultured bacterium. RNAcentral's name for it is "partial 16S ribosomal RNA". It matches the Rfam family "Bacterial small subunit ribosomal RNA", at positions 30 to 523 of the family's 1533-position model. The record is from RNAcentral.